GUCCCUGUAGGGCAAUGGCUUGCGCGUUGGACUUCCAAUUCAAAAGUCGUGGGUUGGAAUCCCACCCGGGAUA
Trichonephila inaurata madagascariensis is the source of this 73-nucleotide non-coding RNA. The record is from the annotation of a GenBank genome assembly. Lineage: Eukaryota; Metazoa; Arthropoda; Arachnida; Araneae; Nephilidae.